AGUGAACGCUGGCGGCGUGCUUAAUACAUGCAAGUCGAACGAUGAAGUCCUAGCUUGCUAGGAUGGAUUAGUGGCGCACGGGUGAGUAAUAUAUAGUUAAUCUGCCUUGCACUGAGGAACAACAGUUGGAAACGAUUGCUAAUACCUCAUACUCCAACUUUACAUAUGUUAAGUUGGGAAAGUCUUUUCGGUGCAAGAUGAGACUAUAUCGUAUCCGCUAGUUGGUAAGGUAAUGGCUUACCAAGGCUAUGACGCGUAACUGGUCUGAGAGGAUGAUCAGACACAUUGGAACUGAGACACGGUCCAAACUCCUACGGGAGGCAGCAGUAAGGAAUAUUGUGCAAUGGAGGAAACCCUGACGCAGCAACGCCGCGUGGAGGAUGACACUUUUCGGAACGUAAACUCCUUUUGUUAGGGAAGAAUAAUGACGGUACCUAACGAAUAAGCACCGGCUAACUCCGUG
Molecule: ribosomal RNA, 463 nt
Filed under: uncultured bacterium
Lineage: Bacteria
Description: partial 16S ribosomal RNA
Rfam family: Bacterial small subunit ribosomal RNA
Source: RNAcentral